CCUUGCCACAUCGUUAUCCUUCUCGAUCAUUCUAAUCGGCGGCUCUUCUUCGACGAGACGAGGCGUGUCCCCCCUCGGGUCCCGCAUUCUUCGGCGCUUCCAACAGAAGAGGACAGAAACCGAACCCAGCGAAGAGGAGCAGCUUCCUCUCCCCCGUCUCCUCCACGGCGUUCGCCGACAGAUCGAGAUCGGUACUAUUGCUUCACUUCAUCUUGCUCCCCCCUUGAUCUGCCCUUCUCUGGCGCGCUGAUCCAGCGGUUUGAAUCUUUCCUGGCCAGAUCAGGUUAUUUGGUUGGACUGCAUUCUUCAAUCUCUUCACCGAUUCAGGAUUUCGCGUUACAUCGCCGUUUCUAGAUCCUUUUCGGUUUAAAAUCGAAUUUAUACUGAGGCAGCCGAUGACGAAUCCACCGGAUGUGACCUCUUGUUUUGCUUCGCAAUUGUUUUAUGAAUCUAAGAAACUGAGGACAUUUGCCAUGGUUGUCCAGGACUUGGAAUUGGCACUGUAACAAUGUGAGGUCAUGGGACAAUUUUUUUUUUUUUUUUUUUUUUUUUUUUGUAACUUAGAAACCACAUACCUAGAAGGAAAAGCAAUAUCCGAUAAGAACUGAGAACAAGAAAAUGCCAUGUUAUGAAUUGAAGCUACAUGUUGGAGCAUUCUGAUUACAUGUUUAUUGAAUUGCAACUAGUAGGCAAACAUUCAUCAAGUUGAAGGUAUAAGGGAUAGAGAGGGACUAAGAAAAUUCUAGCUGAUAAAGUUAGAAAUAGUUUAAGAGAUUUGAAUUUUAUCAAUCAUAUCUUAUACACACUUGGAUAGAGAGAUAAGAUCCAUGUAGUUGAAUCCAAAUAGUUGGGAUUACAUGGUUUGAUGUUGGCAAAAGUUUCAAUACAUUUGCGUAUAUAGUUCCCACAAUAUGUUUUGUAGCUAGUAAACAUGACUUAUUCUGUUUAUGCUAAUCUUUUCUGAUGUACAAACAUUUUUGUGGAGAUGCUAAUUGUCAUUUGGAGAUCUUAAAGUAUGGCAUCUACCAGCAAGGCUGAUGGGAAGGCAGCAUUAGAUGCUGCUCAUAGAUGUUCGAUAUUGUUACAUCUGUUGGGACUAUACGCAAUAUGAUUUUCACUUUCUAUAGUUUCAUUGUUAAAUUAAUGUCCUUUUAAUAGCAGCUCUUUAUAGCUUGCAACAUAACACUUAGAUUUCAAAAUGAUCUCAAGAUUGUGAGUGCAAUGAUCUAUUUUUCUUUAGUAAAAA
Zingiber officinale is the source of this 1246-nucleotide long non-coding RNA. RefSeq lists it as uncharacterized. The transcript is spliced from 2 exons. NCBI's taxonomy places the organism in Eukaryota, Viridiplantae, Streptophyta, Magnoliopsida, Zingiberales, Zingiberaceae. The record is from RefSeq and is a predicted model, not a curated record.